AAUUACAUCAACAAUCACCUAACUUUUAUUCCAAUAACAAAAUAAUCACUCAACUUCAACUUUAUGAAAGUAACAAAUCGGUGACUAACGGACAUUUUCAGUUACAAUGUAAUGAAAAGUUGAGAUGGCCCAUUAACUAACCACGUUAACUAGCCGAUUGUUGAUUUGAGUUUUCUCUUUCAUUUUCUCGGCAUCCAAAUAAUGGAGAUUGGAGAGUUUAGCCCUUUGGGCCGUGGCUUCCUCUGACUUCUCUUCGACCUCUUCUUUUUUACCUAAUCUCUUCUCUCAUCUCCUUCUCAUUUUUGACGGCCAGCUUUUUCUGUUUCCUGCGAUCCGUUCCAACCCUAAACCCUCGGCCAACCAAAAGUUGUGCCUUGUGAGGGAGUUUGGUGUGAUGCGGAUAACGACGGUUCUUGGAUUGCUUGCUAUAGCAAAUUCUUGUAUUGGGAUGCACCAAGUUAGUAACACAAAUGCAGGAAAAGAUUUUGAUUUUUGGAAAAGGAUUUCGGAGGAGGGCUUAGCAUAAUGAGAAUCAAAUGUAUUGUUGGUAGUGUCGUUAGAACGGCAGAGGUCUUCAAAGCAACGCUUCUAUAUGGCUUGUUGUUCUUCAAGGCAUUGGAGCCUAAGUUGUUCUUCUCCACUUCUUCUGCAAUUGAUAUGAACAUGUUAGUGGGACAAAUUACAGAAAGAAAAAUGCAAAACCCUAGAAAUAAAGAGAACGAGGGGGAACGAGGAGAGACCAACUUUGAGACUUAACCUUAGCCUCGUUGAGGCGUUCACUAAAUUCGUCGAGCUUCUCAAUUUGCUUGGAUUCCUCGGAAGUGUCAAUCAUCUGGUGGAUUUAAAGAUGGAGAUAACUCAAAAGAUUGAAAAUUCAAUAAUAUUAACAUAACAAAAAAUUGAAAGGGAAAAAAAACAACACAUUUUAUUAAGUUUUCCUAGUAUUUUAUGCUCUGUUUGGUUACUGAGAAACUGAGAGGGAAAAUAUAGUGGUAUUAGAAGAGUGUAAAAAGUGAGAGAAUACUAGAAGAAAACUACGUACGAGGGCAUUUUUUAUUAUUAUUUUAAAAUUGAUUAAAGAUAGGAACCAACAAAUCCAACAUGGGAAGUAUGUGAAUAUGUCUGACGUGGCUAGCUAAUAAGCCAUGUUACCUG
RNAcentral lists this long non-coding RNA (1155 nucleotides) under Gossypium barbadense (sea-island cotton). RNAcentral describes it as "long non-coding RNA (GBAR_LNC011003)". The record is from RNAcentral. Lineage: Eukaryota; Viridiplantae; Streptophyta; Magnoliopsida; Malvales; Malvaceae.